ACUCCUAGCGUGGUUUCAGAAGUUUUAGCUAUUUCUUUCUCCUCUCUUUUGCUCACCAUUUAAAAACUACAGAUGUAAAAUGAGGUUUUAUGCUUCGUGUAUGGAACUGUUUGGUCAGGUGAGCUAGUCCCUUCUGGUAAAGUGCCUUAUUUUGGGUGUAGGACUUGCCAUACUGAACUUCCUGUAUUGAGAGGGUCUGUGUCAAAGACUAAAGAUCUCGGGGAAUGCAUCACAGUCUUGCUUCUGGAUGAUGGUGGCCAGCAAGAGUCCCUCAGCCUUGCUGUUAAGGAUAAGGGGACCUCUGAUGCAGUAGCCAUUUGAGAGGCUGAGCACACAGAUGUGAGACUAUGAAGCAGAGAAGGAAAGGCCCAAAACAGAGAGAGAACUGCAAAGCACAGGGAACUAUGCGGAACUUCCAAGAAAAGAUGAAGAAAGGACUGGUGUGUGCUACUUCACCAUGUAUCCUGCCCACGAUAGUUCCUUCGAGAUGUUACUGAAUUACAAGGUCUGAGAAAUCCCAACCACUAGCCAACAGAUCCCUAAGAACAGCAUCAAGACACAAAGGGAUGUGUUCUUCACUGUAAGUAAUUUCUCUUCAUUUCUCACAUUUUUUUUCACCUGUAAUUACCAGGUAAAAGAGCCAUCAAUGUGCUUUGGUUUGCAGCAUGUUUGGAAAGAUUUUAUGCAAAAUAAAGCCCUAGUCCAGAAAUCAGAAAUAUUUGGCUGGCCUUCAUAUCUGUGUGACCAUACUUUUGAUUUCAGUGGCUCUCUGCAAGGCUACUGGAAUACCUUCUCAUAUGUCAGACUACCAUUGGUCAACUAGUGAGCUUAUGAACACUGCACAUACAGAUUUGUACUGGUUAGGUUUUUGGAAGUGUUUCUAAGUAAAAUUUGUGUCAAGGAAUUGACAAAAGUAAUCUAUUCCACUCUGAAAACUCUAAAGUUGUACUCCUGCAACUAGGGAUUGUCAGGUCUGUUUGGGCCACUAAACUGUCAGACAUUCUGUUCACUGCUCUUAUGUCUCUCUUACUUUUGCGUCCUGUGAAGCACUGAAAAGAUGUUCUCCCCUCUCUUUUCAGGAAUUUUUUAGAGAAGGGGAAGGAAAGGGAUUAUUCUACAUUAGAAUAAUGGUGUUGUAGACACUGCCAGGGGAUGAUCUAGGCUGCAUCUUAACUUGAUUUCCCUGGGAGACUGCCAGUGGCAAGACUGCUUCCCCACCUGAAGUUUAAGGAAGGUGGGGAGAAUGGUUUCCAGAGAAAAGUAUAACAAGAUUAAAAAGAAGAAUCCAUCUGAAAGGAUCAUCUUCUUUCCUUCCUCCACUUCCCUGUUGAUCCUAUGACCAGGGACAGGACAGCUCUUCACUGUGACUUUUAUUCUUUCCCUCAUUGUUUCCCUCCUUUCACAGCCUUCUCUGAAGGGCUUGUUGCUGCAGAAUUGCAAGGAACUUCUAUAAAUCUCACACCUGCCUUUCAUCUGAGUUCUGCUGGUCUGACAAAUUGCUGUGAUUCAGAUACCUUAACAGAAGGUGUCCCAGGUGGCUGGAACACCACUGUCCUAACUGUACUGCCUUCCCUCAUUGUCAUCCCUCCCCACCUCCCUCCCCCCCCCGACUCUCUGCAGUUCUCAUGCUGCAGGAUCAGCACUCAGCCAUUGGUAGAGGAGGGAGACUAUAGGGAAUAGGCCUUUUAUCUACAAAAGGAAAAUUAAACCUGGUGCAGGGCACCCUGGUUGUCUAAAAAGCACAUCAUUCUGAUACUCUUGGCAGGCUUGGUAAUCUGUGAAUGGAUUUCUGAGGCUAGUGAUGCCUUGUGUUGCUGCAUGCAAGCCCACCAGACUUGUGGUGUCCUAGGGGAGAUUGUGUAUGGUACCACAGAAUGAAAAAUAAAUAAGUGCCACAGCUGAAACAGUGUUGGGUAGUAUACUUGGCAGUAUACUGUGCUUGUCCUCUUGCUUGCCUUGAUGCUAUUAAAGGAACACUUGUUUAUCAUGUCUGGGAAUUGCAUUAUCAAGUGUAAUGAUUAAUGGUCAGAUAAAGACAAAUGUCAGUUCAGGUUGGCGAGUUUUUGAAACGUGGUCCCUGGAGGUGUUCAAAGCCAAUCUGAAUGGGACCCUCUGCAUCCUGACCUAGUGCCUGAUCUAGCAGUUGGCAAACCUGCCCACAACAGGGGAUUUGGAACUAGGUGAUCUUGAAGGCCCCUGCCAUCCAAGCUACUAUAUGAUUCUGUGAUUACUGGUACACUGACAGACUACUUUUCUCCUUAUGUGUUGAAGGAAUUCAAGUGCUAUUAUGAGACCAAGUGACUUGUAGCCCUCCCUUCUCUUCACUUACUUAUGCUAUGUUAUGAUAGGCCAUUGAAUGCCAUGACUGUUACACAAUACAAGUGAUGCAAACAUGCAAGAAAAAAAAAUCCUCUUGUAAAUCCUCCAGUUUCUGCAACUAGAACUUAAAGGCAUCUUUUUAAAGGCUAGACAGAACUGAAGAGAACCAGAAAACUCAACAGACAUCAAUAACAUCGGUUUGGAUGGCUUAUAGUAGAGAUGUAGAAUACUUUUGACAUGUGAGAAAAGCCGCAGGAGAGCUCUCUCCAGUGCAGGAUUUACUGUCAAAGAAGUAUGUGGAAAGUAAUCUCUGCAGAUUUUCUGGUAACAGAGGUGUAUAAUGAUCAACAUAGGCAUGUCUGUGCAUUUCUUUCACUUACUUGCACAAAGAUAUGGCACUGUACUUAGUCCUUAUAUUCAGCCAUAUUCAAACAAUGCUCAAAGAGAUGUGAAAACAUCUAUAAAAAUCCUAACCAUGCACAUUUACAUAGCAAUUUUCUUGCAUGCAAAGACAGGUAGAGUUAUUUUUUUUAGGAAUUCACAUACAGUAAAAUACAGUAAUGACAUAUGCUGCCUGCCUUGAAUAAAUGAGUUGCUCCAACCUCAUGUUUUCUAAAGGUUAAUUACAAAACUCAUUUGAAUGUACCAAAUUCUGUUUCCAAAAUUCCUGUGUUCUGAGACCUGGAACUUGGCAGAUGACAUAAAUUUAUGAGUUUUUAUCUUGUGUUUGUUAUGUUAAUGAUAGGCGUCAGAAGUGCAAAGGUACAGAACUGCUUUUAAUUAGUGAAUAGGCUAGUGUGGUUUGGGACAUACUCUCAUUUUCAUAUGGCUUUGAGAAUCUCCAUACUGCUGUUCAUAUAACUGCCAGGCAAGGCUGCGGACUCUCUCGGGGUAUGUCAAUUUCCAUUGUACUGAUUGGCUGUUUGGAAUUGUUUUCAGACUUCUGCAGGUGUUUUGUGACAGAGCCAACAUGUAUGAGUAGGGGGGAAAAGUGAUAGAAACUGAUAUUGGAAACAGC
Gallus gallus (chicken) is the source of this 3337-nucleotide long non-coding RNA. NCBI's taxonomy places the organism in Eukaryota, Metazoa, Chordata, Aves, Galliformes, Phasianidae. The record is from Ensembl.